This 429-nucleotide ribosomal RNA is filed under the name uncultured bacterium. RNAcentral's name for it is "bacterial SSU rRNA". It matches the Rfam family "Bacterial small subunit ribosomal RNA", at positions 32 to 489 of the family's 1533-position model. The record is from RNAcentral.
AAUCAACGCUGGCGGCGUGCCUAACACAUGCAAGUCGCACGAGAAAGGGACUUCGGUCCUGAGUACAGUGGCGCACGGGUGAGUAACACGUGAAUAAUCUACCUUCGAGUGGGGAAUAACUGAGAGAAAUCUCAGCUAAUACCGCAUAAUACCCACGGGUCAAAGCAGCGAUGCGCUUGAAGAGGAGUUCGCGGCAGAUUAGUUAGUUGGCAGGGUAAGGCCUACCAAGACGAUGAUCUGUAUCCGGCCUGAGAGGGCGCACGGACACACUGGAACUGAAACACGGUCCAGACUCCUACGGGAGGCAGCAGUGGGGAAUUUUGCGCAAGUGGGGGAAACCCUGACGCAGCAACGCCGCGUGGAGGAUGAAAUCCCUUGGGAUGUAAACUCCUUUCGAUCGGGAAGAUAAUGACGGUACCGAGAGAAGAA